This 440-nucleotide ribosomal RNA is filed under the name uncultured bacterium. RNAcentral's name for it is "partial 16S ribosomal RNA". It matches the Rfam family "Bacterial small subunit ribosomal RNA", at positions 338 to 795 of the family's 1533-position model. The record is from RNAcentral.
CCUACGGGGGGCAACAGUGGGGGAUAUUGCACAAUGGGGGGAACCCUGAUGCAGCGACGCCGCGUGGGGGAAGGAGGGUUUCGGCGUGUAAAGCCCUUUCGGCAGGGAAGAAGAUGACGGUACCUGGCCAAGAAGCCCCGGCUAACCACGUGCCAGCAGCCGCGGUAAUACGUAGGGGGCAAGCGUUAUUCGGAUUUACUGGGGGUAAAGGGGGGGUAGUCGGGAAUGCAAGUCAGGAGUGAAAGCCCGGGGCCCAACCCCGGGACUGCUUUUGGAACUGCAUGGCUGGAGUACAGGAGGGGCAUGCGGAAUUCCUAGUGUAGCGGUGAAAUGCGUAGAUAUUAGGAGGAACACCGGUGGCGAAGGCGGCCUGCUGGACUGUGACUGACGUUGAGGCCCGAAGGCGUGGGGAGCAAACAGGAUUAGAUACCCUUGUAGUC